GACGAACGCUGGCGGCGUGCUUAACACAUGCAAGUCGAACGGAAAGGCCCUGCUUGCAGGGUACUCGAGUGGCGAACGGGUGAGUAACACGUGGGUGAUCUGCCCUGCACUUCGGGAUAAGCCUGGGAAACUGGGUCUAAUACCGGAUAGGAGCCAGUUUUAGUGUGAUGGUUGGAAAGAUUUUUCGGUGUAGGAUGAGCCCGCGGCUUAUCAGCUUGUUGGUGGGGUAAUGGCCUACCAAGGCGGCGACGGGUAGCCGGCCUGAGAGGGUGGACGGCCACAUUGGGACUGAGGUACGGCCCAGACUCCUACGGGAGGCAGCAGUGGGGAAUAUUGCACAAUGAGCGCAAGCCUGAUGCAGCGACGCCGCGUGGGGGAUGACGGCCUUCGGGUUGUAAACGCCUUUCGCUAGGGACGAAGCUUUUUGUGACGUUACCUAGAUAAGAAGCACCGGCUAACUACGU
This 464-nucleotide ribosomal RNA is filed under the name uncultured bacterium. RNAcentral's name for it is "partial 16S ribosomal RNA". It matches the Rfam family "Bacterial small subunit ribosomal RNA", at positions 28 to 506 of the family's 1533-position model. The record is from RNAcentral.